UGGGGAAUAUUGCACAAUGGAGGGAACUCUGAUGCAGCGACGCCGCGUGAACGAAGAAGGCUUUCGAGUCGUAAAGUUCUUUUAUAUGGGAAGAUAAUGACGGUACCAUAAGGAAAAGCCCCGGCUAACUACGUGCCAGCAGCCGCGGUAAUACGUAGGGGGCUAGCGUUGUCCGGAAUCACUGGGCGUAAAGGGUUCGCAGGCGGAAAUGCAAGUCAGGUGUAAAAGGCAGUAGCUUAACUACUGUAAGCAUUUGAAACUGCAUAUCUUGAGAAGAGUAGAGGUAAGUGGAAUUUUUAGUGUAGCGGUGAAAUGCGUAGAUAUUAAAAAGAAUACCGGUGGCGAAGGCGACUUACUGGGCUCAUUCUGACGCUGAGGAACGAAAGCGUGGGUAGCAAACAGG
RNAcentral lists this ribosomal RNA (403 nucleotides) under bacterium. RNAcentral describes it as "partial 16S ribosomal RNA". It matches the Rfam family "Bacterial small subunit ribosomal RNA", at positions 355 to 776 of the family's 1533-position model. RNAcentral also lists the same sequence under 1 other name. The record is from RNAcentral.